UAAUUAAUUAGUCGAGAUAAAAAGAGUCCUUAAUUCUUUAUUCGUCUCCGCCGCGGCCACAUCGGCCUCGAUUGAUCUCCUCCGCUUCCUCUCCCUCUUCUUCCUCCUCCUCGCGCCGCCGCCGCCGCCACCGCUGGCGUUUCUUCUUCUUCGUAAUCUUUCCCUCGUUUUGGUGGAAUCUCGUUGCGGGGAGGGGGAGAGUGUUGAAUCGGUGGCGACAACUACGAGUUAUUGCGGCGGGCGGCAAUUAGGGUUUUGGCUUCCUCCUUUCGAUGGAGGACCACCCGCAGGGGAAUUCGUGGGAGAUUCUAGAGGAGGGAAGCGACCUAUUGUUCGACGAAAACCUCGCCAUCAGCGUCGAGGAUUUGUACGCCAUCCUCGACGAAGAGCCGGCGCAGCCUCCUCCGUCCGACGAACAGCCCCAGAUUACAUAUGAAGGUUUACACCAAGGCAAAUUACAUGGAUACCCUGUAGAUGCCGAAUUUUCUGCUAAACCUUAUAUUUUUGGUUCAACAGAAUAUAAGGAAUGCAGUGGGAGAGUUGGUUCUCAAUGGAGUACGUCAGAUAGAAUUGGUGGCUUAGACUGCCAAAAAGAGGUUAAUGUAGGAUUUUCCUUGGGUUCAAAAGAAAAUUAUAACUGUAAUUUUCCUAGGAAUGAUGAUAUAAGACAUGCCUCAGAGCAUGCUGAAUCUAAGCACGCACUUGAUUGUCCUUCAAGUUGUUUUUCACCUUCAAAUCAAGAAUAUGAUUUUAAUACAAGAAAAAAUUUUGUUGAGAGCUCCCGCAAUAGUCUGAUGGUCAGAGACCUCCACAAUCAGCAGCUUCAACAUGCACCGAGCUAUAAUUUUGAUAAUGUUGACAAAACCAGCCUUAUUAUGUCACAUUAUGUAGAAUUCAGUCAUGAUUUGUUCUCGGACAGUGGCCAAAAGGUCUUCAAGCAGACGAGAAGUCAUGACUAUGAACAUUGUGCAGACGAUUCACACACUAUGAUAACUGAUUUGUCUGGUCUAACUGACGCUGAGAGAAAUAAUGAAAGAAGAUCCACUCAGAGGGUUUCUCUAUUUCACGAUCCUUAUUCAUAUACUGAUCCUAGUUUAACUUGCCAAAAUUUGUAUGAUUCCAAGUCCACAUUGAAUGCUACUGAGGCAUUAGGCAUCAUGUAUAAUGCUUGUGGAAGCAGCUAUGCUCGCAGAGAUUCACAUACUGAUGGUACUAGGAACACAUUCCAUGGCCAAUUCUCUCAUCCAGUUUUUUCACAUCAGAAGGAAGAUAUAGUUAAGCAUGAAAAUGAGGAUCAACGACAUCCAUCUCUGAGUUUAUCCAGAGGCAGUGAAGUGGAGUUGGACACGACUGCGGAAUCCAGAUCCUUACUGCAAGACUUCCUAAUGUCAGAUACUGUUCUACCACUGCUAGAUGCCUGUGCAGGGCAGAACAAUUCUGAUGAUCUUAGUCUUGAGAGUGAAUCUAGUAUAGAUUCUUCUUCUUAUGGCAGCCGCAAGAGAGACCCUCCAAGUAGAAAUUCUACCUCUAGUCAUACUGAAUUAUUUGUGAUGAAUGAGUCGGAAAAUUUGUUCUCUGAUUCUUUGACUAACUGGCCUAAUAAGAAGCAAAAUAUAUCGUUGAUGAUAGGCAGAGAUGAUCAGGCACAUAUAUCUCAUUACCACCAGAAUAGCCUUAAGCACCAUGACAAUGGUGGUGCCAUGAGCUACAUGAGUAAUCUUAAGCAUCGUGAUAAUGAUGGUCUCAUAUAUGUAAGUGUGGAUGAUGAUGCUGACACAUGCAUCCUUGAUGAUAUUAGAAACUCUACCUACCCACCACCACCACACCCAUUUUAUACAAGUAAUCCUACAGUAGUAGAUCAGUCUGGAUUUACAGAGACAUAUUUGUCUAGGUUUGGUGGGAUGCGGCAAAAGGAUGAAAGAUUGAAUAUCCAGCUAGCUCUGCAGGUGCAGGAUCUUUCUCAGCCCAUGUCUGAGGCCUGUCCACCUGAGGGAGCGUUGGCAGUUUCUUUGCUGAGACAUCAGCGUAUAGCUUUACAUUGGAUGGUACAAAAGGAAACUUCAAGCUCACAUUGUUGUGGUGGCAUACUUGCUGAUGAUCAGGGACUUGGUAAAACAGUAUCUACAAUUGCGCUAAUCCUGAUGGAGAGAUCUCCAUCUCUUCAACCAUUUCCUUCUGCUGGAAAUCACGAUAAAAUUGAACCUCUAAACCUGGAUGAUGAUGAGGAAGAUGACAUUUCUAAGAUUAAUGAAGCAAAGCAGCUCCGGGUUUGCAGUUCCUCAAUGGCCAGUGUAUUGAAGAGAAGGGGGGAUCAGGAGAUUAUGCCCAUAAAGAGUAGCCCUGCAGCAGGAACAUUAGUUGUUUCCCCUACAAGUGUUCUCCGGCAAUGGGCUGAGGAAUUGAAAACUAAAGUUGCAUGCAGUGCUAAUUUGUCAGUUUUGGUUUAUCAUGGAAGUAAUAGAACGAAAGAUGCCCACGAACUUGCAAAAUAUGAUGUUGUUCUUACUACAUAUUCUAUUGUAAGCAUGGAAGUUCCUAAGCAGCCACUUGCUGAUAAAGAUGAUGAGAGAGAAAAUUAUGAUGGUCACAUGGAAAGUAUGGUUGAUAAGAAAGGAAAGGAGACUUUGAGUGCCUCGAGAAAGAAUGUGAAAGAUGGGAAUGUUGAAUCAGCUGCUCGACCUCUUGCAAGAGUUAGUUGGUUUAGGGUAAUUCUGGAUGAAGCUCAAAGCAUCAAGAAUCAUAGGACUCAAGUUGCAAGGGCAUGUUGGGGUCUGCAAGCUAAGAGAAGGUGGUGUUUGUCUGGUACUCCCAUACAGAAUGCAGUUGAUGACCUUUAUAGCUAUUUCAGAUUUCUCCGUUAUGGUCCAUUAGAUGCUUACAAAUCUUUUUGUUCCAUGAUAAAGAAUCCAAUUAGUCGUAAUCCAUCAAAAGGCUAUGAAAGACUUAAAUUGAUUUUGAAGACUAUAAUGUUACGUCGCACUAAAGGAACUAUGCUUGAUGGCGAGCCUAUUAUUACUUUGCCAUCUAAGACUAUUACUUUGAAGAAGGUGGAUUUCUCCAAGGAAGAACGAGCUUUCUACACACGUUUAGAAGCUGAGUCAAGAGAACAGUUUAAGGUAUAUGCAAAUGAAGGAACUGUCAAACAAAACUAUGUGAAUAUUUUGUUGAUGCUCUUAAGGCUUAGGCAAGCUUGUGAUCAUCCUUUUCUGGUAAAUGGGUAUGGUUCCAAUUCUGUGGAGAGGUCUUCCAUAGAAAUAGCGAGUAAGCUCCCCAAAGAAAAACAGAAGGAUCUCUUGACCUGUUUGGAAGCAUGCUUGGCUAUCUGUACGAUAUGCAAUGAUCCACCUGAAGAUGCAGUUGUUACAAAGUGUGGACAUGUUUUCUGCAAUCAGUGUAUCCGUGAGCGUUUUAAUGGUGAUGAUUAUAUCUGCCCGUCAGCUGAUUGCAAAGUUAGGUUAACUGCUGCUUCAGUAUUUUCUAGAAGUACAAUUGCAACCUCCAUAUGUGACAUGCCUGUUGAGGUCUGCCACUCCACCGGCUGUAGUUCUAACAUCUCAGAUGCAACCAAAUCCAAUGGAUGCUCUUAUUCUUCUAAAGUAAAAGCAGCUCUCGAUAUUUUGCAAUCACUGCCCAGGUCUCAAUGUUAUCUCCCUGAUUGUAACUCUUCCAAACCUAAGGAAGAAGGUGAUGACUGUCUGCCAAAUGGGAUCAAUACAGUUUCACAGGGAUGCUUUGUGACUACAAAUGAAGGAAAAAAUCCGAAACCAAAUUGUCAGCAUUCAGAAAAGGCCCUUGUUUUCUCACAGUGGACAAGGAUGCUGGAUUUACUGGAAGUUCCUUUGCAAGAAUCUUGUAUACAGUAUAGGAGACUUGAUGGUACAAUGUCUGUUGCAGCUAGGGAUAAAGCAAUCAAGGAUUUCAACAAUCUUCCAGAGGUCUGUUACUGUGAUGAUCAUGUCUCUGAAGGCAGCAAGUCUUGGUCUAAAUCUGGUGGUAGCUUGCCAUGUUCUUCUUCUGGAUUUGUGGUGGAACCCUACUACUGAGGACCAGGCUAUUGAUAGAGCACACAGAAUCGGCCAGAGGCGUCCUGUAACUGUAUCACGGUUAACUGUGAAAGACACAGUGGAAGAUCGUAUUUUGGCUUUACAGGAAAAGAAGAGGGAGAUGGUCGCUUCUGCAUUCGGUGAAGAUGAAUCAGGUUCUCGCCAAACUCGCCUGACAGUGGAAGACUUGAACUAUCUCUUCAUGGUGUAGUUCGCAGCUCCUCGUGGCACAGUUUUGCACACAGGCUAACCUCAAUACCUUCCACGAGUCGAUCCUUCUCCACCUUGUUUUGGUACUAAGUACUAACCAGCUUCUUGUGAAUAGCGAACUUAGAUGCAAAAGGUGGAACCGCGACCUUAGCGGCCCCCUGGGUCCGGCCCCACAGAUGUCCAGAGAGGGCAAAUCACGGUUAAGCUGGGCGGGAGGGGUGAGUGAAUAGCGAACUUAGAGAUUGCACAGUUGGUUGUUACUUGGUCUUCAAGCAUAGCUUUUCUUACAUUUAUAGGCGAUGUUAUUUUUAUAGGAGAAAAAUGAUAGAGAAGAUGUGAAAUUCACCAUUGACAUCAUUUGUAAAUCUUCAGUGGCUUUAGUUAUGUGAAAUCAUUUGAUGUUAAAA
Molecule: RNA transcript, 4660 nt
Organism: Zingiber officinale
Lineage: Eukaryota; Viridiplantae; Streptophyta; Magnoliopsida; Zingiberales; Zingiberaceae
Gene name: helicase-like transcription factor CHR28
Exons: 12
Source: RefSeq, a predicted model, not a curated record